AUACGUAGGGGGCGAGCGUUGUCCGGAUUUAUUGGGCGUAAAAGGCUUGUAGGUGGCCACGCCAAGUCGGAUGUGAAAUCUCCCGGCUCAACUGGGAGGGGUCAUUCGAUACUGGCGGGCUCGAGGCCGGUAGGGGGAAGUGGAAUUCCCGGUGUAGUGGUGGAAUGCGUAGAUAUCGGGAGGAACACCAGUGGCGAAGGCGGCUUCCUGGACCGGUUCUGACACUGAGGAGCGAAAGCGUGGGGAGCGAUCC
RNAcentral lists this ribosomal RNA (253 nucleotides) under uncultured prokaryote. Its description in RNAcentral is "partial 16S ribosomal RNA". It matches the Rfam family "Bacterial small subunit ribosomal RNA", at positions 523 to 774 of the family's 1533-position model. The record is from RNAcentral.